Molecule: ribosomal RNA, 2015 nt
Filed under: Notostomus elegans
Lineage: Eukaryota; Metazoa; Arthropoda; Malacostraca; Decapoda; Oplophoridae
Description: eukaryotic LSU rRNA
Rfam family: Eukaryotic large subunit ribosomal RNA
Source: RNAcentral
ACUGAAAUGGGAGGAGCCCAGCGCAUAACCUCGCGGUCCCUGGCCGGCCGACGAGGGGUGUUGCGUUUCGGUGGACCCGCCCCGCUCGGGCCGUUUACCGCCUAAGUCAUUGCUUGAAAGCAGCCCCGCGGAGGGUGAUAGGCCCGUGUGGCGGCGCCUGUAAAAAGGGUAAAGGCGGCUCGGGCGGAGGGGUCUUCACCGUAGAGUCGGGUUGCUUAGUACUGCAGCCCUAAGCAGGUGGUAAACUCCAUCUAAGGCUAAAUACUACCACGAGUCCGAUAGAGAACAAGUACCGUGAGGGAAAGUUGAAAAGGACUUUGAAGAGAGAGUUCAAAAGGACGUGAAACCGUUAGAAGCUUAAACGGGUGGAACCGCGAAGGUCGAACGAGGGGAUUCAGCUCGCCGGUCUGCGGAAGCGGGCGGCGGUACAUGAGAAUUCCAGUGAGAGGACCCGGCGCAAACGACGACAUGCCGUGGCCCCGCCCCCGCCUCCGGAGUUGCCGGCGGGCUUACUUCUCCCUCCAGUAGGUCGCCGCGACCCGUCGCGGGGACCCCCAAGGCCGUCCCGGAUUGGUAGCCCAGGCGCAGCUCUGGGUGAUGACCGGCGGCGGUUCUGACGGGCCCCUGCGACGGUCACUGCCAGGAGGCCGCGUGACGCGGCCUCUCGCGGCGUGCAAGGGAUCGGUAAUCCACCCGACCCGUCUUGAAACACGGACCAAGGAGUCCAACAUGUGCGCGAGUCUAAGGGCGAACUAAACCCGGAGGCGAAAUGAAAGUGAGCUACUGUGUGACUUAUCUCACGGCAGGCCGAUCCCCGGCCGUCCGUUCCCGGGGGCUGUCCCCGCUCUCGGCGUGAGGAACUUAUCCGCUGGGCGGGGCGCUCUCGGGGCGGCGGCUAACCACGCUCCGCAGCGAGCCGGGGCGCAGGCCGAGGACUUGCCGCUCGGCGGCCCGGGAAGCGGGGUGCUCCGGCGCCCUCGACCCGGCGUCCGCCGGCAAGUACCUAAGAGCGCACACGUUGGGACCCGAAAGAUGGUGAACUAUGCCUGGCGAGGAUGAAGCCAGAGGAAACUCUGGUGGAGGUCCGAAGCAGUUCUGACGUGCAAAUCGAUUGUCAGAGCUGGGUAUAGGGGCGAAAGACUAAUCGAACCAUCUAGUAGCUGGUUCCCUCCGAAGUUUCCCUCAGGAUAGCUGGCAUUCAGGAUGAUGAGUUUCAUCCGGUAAAGCGAAUGAUUAGAGGCCUUGGGGGUGCAAUGCCCUCAACCUAUUCUCAAACUUUAAAUGGGUGAGAUGUGGAGCUUGCUUGAUGAUUAAACGUUGAAGCUCUAUGGUGGAAGAAUCAGAAUGUCUAGUGGGCCACUUUUGGUAAGCAGAACUGGCGCUGUGGGGUGAACCAAACGCGCGAGUUAAGGGGCCUAAACGAAUGCUAAUGUUGACACUAAGAAAAGGUGUUGGUUGCUAUAGACAGCAGGGCGGUGGCCAUGGAAGUUGGAAUCCGCUAAGGAGUGUGUAACAACUCACCUGCCGAAGCAACUAGCCCUUAAAAUGGUAUGGCGCUCAAGCAUUCUCCCGAUACUCGGCCGCCGGGGCACUAACGGCCCGCCCUGUGGCGGGUCUCGAAGCCCCGGCGAGUAGGAGGGUCGCAGCGGUGUGCGCAGAAGGGAUCCGGCGCGAGCCGGCCUGGAGCCGCCGCUGGUGCAGAUCUUGGUGGUAGUAGCAAAUAAUCAAGAGAGAGCCUCGUUGGCUGAUGUGGAGAAGGGUUCCAUGUCAACAUCAGUUGAACAUGGGUGAGUCAGGCCUAAGCCCAAGGAUAAACUUCCUGUGUCCCAUGGUUUCCGCUGGCGACUUGUCGGUCGUGGGUUCGGGGGCGCUUCUCGGGCGGGGCUCUUUUCUCCUCUGCCGGAACUGCACUGCAGUGCAGCCGGCGGGGAAGGGAAGGGGCCCGCACACGCGCUCUCACUCCCCAAAAAUGCAAUUAACAACAGCAAUGAAAUAAGCAAAGGAGGGGAUGCAGU